This 336-nucleotide unclassified non-coding RNA is filed under the name soil metagenome. RNAcentral describes it as "partial contains 5.8S ribosomal RNA, internal transcribed spacer 2, and large subunit ribosomal RNA". The stretch from base 1 to 120 matches the Rfam family "5.8S ribosomal RNA", at positions 35 to 154 of the family's 154-position model. The record is from RNAcentral.
GAUGAAGAACGCAGCGAAAUGCGAUAACUAAUGUGAAUUGCAGAAUUCAGUGAAUCAUCGAAUCUUUGAAAGCACAUUGCGCCCCUUGGUAUUCCAUGGGGCAUGCCUGUUCGAGCGUCAUUUGUACCUUCAAGCUUUGCUUGGUGUUGGGUGUUUGUCUCGCCUUUGCGUGUAGACUCGCCUUAAAAUAAUUGGCAGCCGGCGUAUUGAUUUCGGAGCGCAGUACAUCUCGCGCUUUGCACUCAUAACGACAGCGUCCAAAAGUACAUUUUACACUCUUGACCUCGGAUCAGGUAGGGAUACCCGCUGAACUUAAGCAUAUCAAUAAGCGGAGGA